Molecule: long non-coding RNA, 1598 nt
Organism: Prionailurus viverrinus (fishing cat)
Lineage: Eukaryota; Metazoa; Chordata; Mammalia; Carnivora; Felidae
Exons: 6
Source: RefSeq, a predicted model, not a curated record
UCCAGCCUUUCAUAAAUCUUUGCCGAGAGACAACAGGGGGCUGUUGAGAGAAGUCUUGGUUGGUUGUUCGGAGCCCGGGUUGGAGCUGAGCCCUGAUGCUUGGCAGCCGUGUGACCUUGGGUUUUCUCUGUGUCCAUGUGAGGAGAGCAACGGCUCACCCCGACAUGGAAUGCCCGACGUCUCAGAACUCCUUCAUGCUGCUGGGUCACUGCCACUUCUGUCUUCCUCCAAAAUACCACCUCGUACCUAGAGCACGUCACCACUAAGCACGGAUUCUGGUGUGGGUGUGUAAAGAGGUGAUGCCUGGAACGAUGACAGCCUUUUGCGGACCAUUAGAGGAGCUCUCCAAAGGAUAAGCCAGCAUACUAAGAAUGCACUAUUCACAAUAGUCAAGAUGUGGGAACUACCGAAAAGUUCACCAACAGAUGAAUGAAUGGAGAAAAUGUGACGGAUACAUACAAUGGGAUAUUACUCAGCCUUAAAGGACAUUCUGCAAGAUGUGACAACCCUGGGUGAAACUUGAGGACAUCAUACUAAGUGAAAGAAGCCAGAAAAAACAGAAAGGUCAACCAGCAGAUCUAUUCUUUCUCCUUCUGGGUACUUAAUUUCUCCGAGGGAAUGUACUAGCAUCAGCUUUGGACUUUCUUCCUGCGUUGGAGAAGAGUAACAUUUGAUGCCUUUGGCCCAAGAAACUUCACUGAACAUUGAGACGUAGGAGGAGAGCAUUGAAAUUCAUAUUUAAUAACCAGCUUGCCUUUUUUAUACUUAAAGGCUUUUUUUUUUCAAAAGAAAAAAUCUAAUUAUGCAUAAGAGAAAUUCACUUAGAAUUAAUUCACUAGGAAUUAACUUGAAAAAAAGGUAAGGAUGUUAACAAUCUUUUUAAAAAAAUAAUUCAAAUUAGAAACACUAAUUAUAGGAACUCCUUUAUAUAACAUGAAACACAGUUCUCUGAGACAUGGGGGAGAAGGCUGGCUUGUAAAGCCGACUUUCAGAGAACAGCGUCUGAUUUAUGGGGGAAUUUGUGUGAGUGAGGCAUAAAAUUUCCCUUAAGAAAGGACUGCCCAGUUCUUCUGAUAAACUGUGUGAUCAUUUCUGGGGAGACCAAAGGACAUAACAUGACCAACAUUUAAUUUUGGGAUCGGGACCUAAGGGUUUAACAUCUUGGACUUACAAAGUCAGGAAAGGAAAGGAGCCAGAAUGCUUGACUGGCCCCUCUGAUCUGGGCCUCCUCAGAUCAGAAACAUACAGUGAGUGAGUGAUAAAGCUGGGAUUUCUAUCUGGGUGUGUCCUAUAUAGUGUUUUGCUCUCUUCGCUUCACCAGGAAGCCCUGAGGACAGGCAGGGAUCUCAACAGGAUCUCAAUAGGAAAGCACAAAGGUGCUUUCUGAUACCUUAUCAAGGUUAUCUUGGCCAAUCACCAGAUAGGAGGGUAAAGACAAGGUACUACACGUGGUUUGUCAAACCAGGGUGGUGUCCCAUUCUCAGACCGUGAAAUCAAAUUUUAGAGUAUCUCAAUAUGAAUUUUUAAAACACAGAGCAAUGUGGAUGGAACUGGAGGGUAUUAUGCUAAGUGAAACAAGUCAGUCUGAGAAAGACAGA